GAUGAACGCUGGCGGCGUGCCUAAUACAUGCAAGUCGAGCGAACGGACGAGAAGCUUGCUUCUCUGAUGUUAGCGGCGGACGGGUGAGUAACACGUGGAUAACCUACCUAUAAGACUCGGAUAACUUCGGGAAACCGGAGCUAAUACCGGAUAAUAUUUUGAACCUCAUGGUUCAAAAGUGAAAGACGGUCUUGCUGUCACUUAUAGAUUGAUCCGCGCUGCAUUAGCUAGUUGGUAAGGUAACGGCUUACCAAGGCAACGAUGCAUAGCCGACCUGAGAGGGUGAUCGGCCACACUGGUACUGAGACACGGCCCAGACUCCUACGGGAGGCAGCAGUAGGGAAUCCUCCGCAAUGGGCGAAAGCCUGACGGAGCAACGCCGCGUGAGUGAUGAAGGUCUUCGGAUCGUAAAACUCUGUUAUUAGGGAAGAACAUAUGUGUAAGUAACUGUGCACAUCUUGACGGUACCUAAUCAGAAAGCCACGGCUAACUACGUG
RNAcentral lists this ribosomal RNA (497 nucleotides) under uncultured bacterium. RNAcentral describes it as "partial 16S ribosomal RNA". It matches the Rfam family "Bacterial small subunit ribosomal RNA", at positions 28 to 507 of the family's 1533-position model. The record is from RNAcentral.